UAGGGUGUGGCUGAACUGGAGCUGAACUGGUUUUGGCAGUUUGUAUGGAAUACUCUCUCUCUCUCUCUCUCUCUCUCUCUCUCUCUCCAGAUCUAGUGGUAGAGAGCAUCGUUCGAGUGCUUAGUUUUCUCGUUCUGUUACUCAUUUUCCUUAUCUUGAUUCAUCACUUUGGAUAAUUUUGUUUCUAUUGCUCUUUUCUCUAUCUUUUUCUGCAUUUCACAAUUAAUUCAUUAUCGGCUUAAUUUGAUUAGUUCUGGAAGAGAGAGAGAUAUAUAUUUAGAUCCUUUAGAAGGUUAGAGAGAGAGAUGUAGAUUUCUGAGAGAGAGAGAGAGAGAUGUAGAUUUCUGAGAGAGAGAGAGAGAGAGAGAUGGCAAAAUAUGGAAAUUAACCAAAAAUCAAGGAACCAACCAUCAAGCAAUCCUUAACUGGAUCAAGGAAGGCCAUUGUGAUGAUUCCUGUGGACCAGUCCAGCCUGUUAAGGGAGAGGACUUUGUGGGCAAAAACUACUAUGUUUCAUGGCCAUGAGGAGGAGGAGGAGGAGGAGGAGGAGGAGGAUGAGACUCUCAGCUAGUUCAAUACAAUUACCCCAGAGCCAGAGGGCACUUCUGACUGCUGAGGUACCCAAAUCUCUCCCCCAUUAAUUGAUUUUAUUGCCAUUUCACUUGUUAACAAUCUGUUUCAUAUGAAUUUGUGUUUUCUUUCCCCUCCUUCUUUAUUUGUGCUUUUGCUUGGGUUGGCUCUCAUUCAAUUUGAGAAAUGGACAUGUUGCUUUGCUUCUCUGGCUUGCUUUCCCAUAUUGUUUACUUUCCAGCGAUGUGAAAAUGUUUUUUCUUAGUUUUUGGUUUUGCAAUUUUGUGGUUUCCUCCGUUUUUAAUAAAUUUGUUUCAGUUUUCUUUCUUUCAAUUUUCUGGUUUUCAUUGUUCGAUCUGUAUUAGAUUAAUUUGAUUUGGAGAUUGAAAGGAAAAAAUGGUAAUAAAGGAUUUAGCUGAGGUGUUUUGUAAAACAAUCCUCCAACUUGCUUGCGUGUUUGUUGAAAGAAAAAAUGGUGGAGAAUUGUUGUAAUCAACCAGAAGAAAAUACAUAAGGGAAGGGAGGCAAACCAUGAUUUAGGAUCGUACUAGUGUAUGUGCAUGCCUCCCUGUUUGUGUGGGCUCAGGAGUGCAAGUAUCAAUUUAGUUUUCAACAAGCUUAAGAUCGAUACGUUGAUCUAUCUAUUUGAUCAGUGGCUAGUACUGACCUAUUUUAUGGACCCGUGGAACGUAGAACUGUUUUGGAUUGGAAAUUUUUUGACCUUUCUGCGGGACAAUUACACCCCGUAACUUCCAAUUGACUGGUGAGACCUUAAACUCUGCCUUUCACCCCCACACGGCACUCUCUCAUUCAAUUUGAGGAUAUGCUUGUUUGGUCUGGUCAGUUAAUGAUUUUUUGAAUGACAUUGGGUGGAGAGUGUGUUGAAAAUUUUGAGUAAAAAUUUUAUUGUCCCACAUUGGUCACUACCAAAAGGUUCUCUCACUUUAUAAGGCUUUGUCCCUUAUAGAAAGUAAUUAGAGUAAUGGUAAAAUUGGGCUCAACCUUGUGGUGGGGCUUUGAAGUGUACUAAUUAAUUAAUUGAUAAUUAUUAUAUAAUUAAUCAUGAAAUGUUGGGUUCGGAGUGAAGUUUUUGGGAUUUAAUUUAAUCAUGAAAAAUGUUGAGUUCAACAUGAUUGAGGGUGUUUAAUUCAAAAUAAGUGUAAAAAAACCGACUCCACUUAAUGGAAUAAAAUUUUGUUGUAUGAAAUGUUGCCAUCAUAGAUAAAUAUUAGUCUUACCAACAAUAAUAAAUUAAUAUAAGUGUAGACAGAAUGUUGUUUACAUAAGAAAAAGAAAGAAACAAAUAUUGGGUCAAACAAAAUUUUCCUAAUGGAUAAUUGAAUAACGAAUAUUAUUUGUUUAAUUCAAAAGUUUUCCUAAUGUUUCUCAAGAAUGGGAACUAUACCUUGACUUAUAGUUCAUGAUAAAGGAAUCCUUUAACAAGAGGGAUCCUCAUUUUUCUAAAAAAUUGGGACGCCCGCUUGACCAUUAGAUUGGCUUUUAAUGAAAUUGUGUGGUUGAGAUUGUGUGGGUUGUGAUUUAAUCUCAACCACAUAAUUUCAUUAAAGCCAAUCCAACGGUCAAGAGGGUGUCCUUAUUAUUAUUUUUAAAACAUGAGGAUCCCUUUUGUUAAAGGGUCUGCAUGAUAAAUAACAUGCCAUAACGUGUAUUACUUUUAUGGUUGGGUUGCAUGAUAAGGCACCCAAAAAAAAAAAAAAAGUUGCAUUGCAUGUAUUUCGUUUAUACAAAAAUAUGUUGGAGUUAAAUUCUCAGUUGGCCACUCCUUUUUUGUGCUUGUUACUUUCCUUGUGUUCCUAGCUUGAGUCUUUGUGAUUACAGCACACAGCACACUCUCAUUCAAUUGGAGGAUAUGUUGGCCACUUCUUUUUGGAGUUGGAAAUUUUUUGACCUUUUUGUGGGACAAUUGCAUCCCGUAAUUUCCAAUUGACUGGUAAGACCUUAAACUCUGCCCGGCACACAGCACAUGGCACACUCAUAUUCAAUUUGAGGAUAUGCUUGUUUGGUGUGGUCAAUGAAUGAUUUUUCGAAUGACACUGGGUGGAGAGUGGAGAGUGGAGAGUGGAGAGUGGAGAGUGGAAGUGGGUUGCACAUUUUGCAUAACAUGAGGCCUCGAGGCAUAAGUCUCGAUUUAGAGACCACUAGCAAGGAAUGCCCGCACGAUGCUGCGGGAUUGAGAGUCGUAUGGAAACUUUGUGUACAAUACCUCAACACAAAUGUAUAUUAAAAUGGUGAUGGUAAAGAUAAGAAGAGAUCCCCCUUGUUGGAUGUAGCAAGUAUGAUAUCUUCCAAACUCCAAUGACAAUUCAUCUAGUUUAGUUCAUGCUAUUAAUUCGUUUAGGUUAUCCACAUAACCUCUAUGGUGCUUCCCCCAGUGACACCCUAACGUCUCCUUGUUCAUAUGUGGGUCCGACGCAUCCUACUUAAAACGAAAUAUCAAAACAAAGUGUCAAAUUUUAACCAACAUAGCUCAAAUUUGACAUCUAUCACAAUAGGUAGACCCAAAAUUUGAUCCAAAUCGAAGUUGAAGAAUCUCUUAACUUCAAAUUUUGGCAUCAAUCACAAUAUACCGCGCAAACCAAUCAUAAGCACAUUAUCAUAUAGUCUGAUAGAAAGCAGCUAAAUGAAAUGAAGAGCAUAAUUCUUCAGUUAAUUUCAUCAGUCACUUAAAUAUACACAUCACGCCAAAUACCGUCGCAAUCUCAUGGUAAAAAUGGACAAAUACUAUGUAACUUUGCACAAAAUAUAUAGCAUGCUAAUAAAUAGAAUAUUCCCAAGAUAACCCCAACACUUAAGGGCAAAUUAGUUAUUUUCCCGAAAAGCUUGCGCCGAUUAUAUCCAGCGGAUCCCCCAACCCAAUUGGAUUCUGCAAUCUCCUCCUCCAACAUGGCCGCCAUUGCUCGAUCGAAUUUCAGAGACGUAGAUGAUUCUGAAAUCUGUAGAAUCCGUAUGCGUGGUCGCACUCGCCUACUUGUUCUUGGCAUGCAAGGCACUGGUAAAUCAUCUCUUAAGAGACAAAUGGAGUCGUCCAUUUUCACCGAGCGAAACAACGUAGGCCCUAAUUGAGUCAUCGACUGUUGACUCGGAGCUAGUCGAGAGAGCCGAUAUUAUUUGUUUUGUCGUGGACUCUACUGAACCGAAGUUUACAGAAAAUGCAGAGUAGGUUUCUAUACCAUCUUUUAGCAAAGAUGGAUGAGUUUGGUAAGACAAAAACAGACAUUCUUGUCAUCUUCACCAAGCUAGAUAGGCUUGUGACUCACUCGAGAAUGAUUUUGACUUCAUUCUUGAUGGAUCGACUGCGGGGUACAUUAGCGGGGCAUUUAAUUUGCGACGAUUCGAGGAGGUCAUCAAGUUCGCCCUUUGUGCAGCCAGGACCGACAAGUGGGAUGAACUGCGCCACCUGAUUACGGAGUCACAGAGAGCACUACUACGACUACCAGAGACAGAGACAGAGACACACAGAGAUAUAAUUAAGUGACAUAUGAGUAGAUUAAUUAAUAAGAAUUAGUGAGUGAUUAGUUAUUGUCAGCUGCCAAUUUGUUGAGUGGAAGCUUAUAUAUAAGCUCAUGCUCUCUUUUAAGGUUAAUUAGUUGCUUUCGGCUUUUUUUUCUUUCUUUCUAUGAGCUUUUCAUUAUUGGAGCUCUUGACUGCAAAUUGUUUAUGGUUGCUCUUUUGGAAUGAAGGAUGAAGGUGUGGACUUUUUCAUAAUGGGAUUUCUUAAAGGGGUUUACUGUCUACAGUGCUGCUGUUCUUGUUAGGAUUAAUCGGAUUGUUUUUGGGAUUUUCGAAAGUUGACAAGAAGUUUGUUAUAUUGCAGGCGAAUUUACAGUUGCUAUCUGGCGGUUACUUGCAAAGCAAUCAAGCUUAUGCUGCCUACCAUAUUUUAAAGGGUUCCAAAUGGUGCAGCUGGUCAUUACCUUCUGGGGUUUAUAUACAGGGUCUGCUGAAGAAGCUGCUGUAUUUUUUGGUGAAGCUGCUCUUCUUUCCAUAUAAACACAGCAUCUAAAUCAUGGAUUAGCUUCUCAAAGUUUACUUACCCUCUGAAUGAGGACUCCACUUAGUUUCUGGUAGGAACUUUAGCUGCGAAGAUGUUAGCCAGAGACAAUUCAAACAUGUUCAAGGAAAUAAUAUAAGAGGUAUGUCUCGAAAUUCUCAUGUUAGUUUGGGAGGAGCUUCUGGUCAACCUGUAAAUGGAAGUUCUGGUUCAUCUUUCUUUAACAACACUCCUUCACCAAUUCCCAUGCAGGUAUAUAUAGGUUUUCCCUUCCAAUUUUUCUCCAGCAGUCUUGCAUUUACCGUUGUAUCUUUUUCCUUUCUUCCAGUGCUUAAUCUUACUAUUUGUAUCAGUUGACUUUAGGUCUGUUUUAUCUUUGUAGCUAUGUGUCUGGACCACUUCAGUUAGGUUUUGUCUUGAAAGGAAGUAUUUGGUUUCUUUACUGAUAAGUUUGUUCUCUUUGUUGUAACUUGUAAAGUAGACCAAUUAACGUAGGAUAGGUGCAAGGACUACACAGGGAUAUGCCUGACUAUUGGAUAGGUGCAAACUUGUCUCUUUACAUUACCUUGAGAUUGUUUGUCUUCUCUUUUCAGAUUUCAAGUUCAAGGAGGUUGUCUUUUGAUUCUAGCAACCGGCGGAGCAAUGGACUUGCUGCUGAAGCAGGGGGCGACACUAAUGCAAGUGCCUCAGUGACAGCUGGAAAUGGAACUGCCAAUUCAUCAAAGUAUUUUGGAAGUUCCAAGCUGAGCUCUGUUGCACGUUCCUUGGCAAAUCGUAAGGGGAAGCCAUGGGCCAAUGGAAACGUUGACGAAGGUGAUGCGUCUUCUCAUUUCCCAGUCAUUUGGUGAACUAUACUACCAUAUAGUUAUUAGCAGGACAAUAAGCCAUUUUAUCACCAAUAUACGUAAUUUAUUCUCUUCUAUUAGUAUUAAUAGAGAAACAACAAAUUGCAUUAUAGUGAUUCAAGUCUUUUUCAUUUCCUUUGCUCGUAUAAGUUUAAUAGCAUUUCCUGGAUAAUAUAAGUAAAAAGUUACCGCUCAAGGAUACCUCCCGAUUCUUCUA
Non-coding RNA from Malus domestica (apple), 5644 nucleotides. The record is from RefSeq and is a predicted model, not a curated record. Lineage: Eukaryota; Viridiplantae; Streptophyta; Magnoliopsida; Rosales; Rosaceae.